GGUGAAGUCUGAUGGGACCAUGGAGCCUCAGCUCAUAGUGAGCCAGAAUUAAUCAGGCCCCGGCUUACCUGAUACAGAGGAGACACACCUGUGUUCCUUUGGCACAGACAUUCUGGAGUCCCAGUGCCCAGGAAAGAAGACGGGAGGCAGUAGCAGAGCCUGGGAGAGAUGGCCUGAGGAUGUUGUGAUGGAAGACUGUAUAUGAUCAUAUGCACUGCUGUCCAGUCUGCAGAGCCAUGUGGGGGCAAGAAGCAGAGGCAAGGAGCUGCCUGCAUGUGGGCUCUGCUUCUCUAUCCCUCACUCCGUCUCCUCCGCUGC
Molecule: long non-coding RNA, 318 nt
Organism: Homo sapiens (human)
Lineage: Eukaryota; Metazoa; Chordata; Mammalia; Primates; Hominidae
Exons: 4
Source: RefSeq, a predicted model, not a curated record